UCCUCUGGUCGGAUCGGCCAUUCACUGGUUCUCGCCGCGGUCAUAUUUCAAAUAUGAUUAUCACCGGGUGAAAAUCAGAGCAGGGCCGAUCCCACCGA
RNAcentral lists this microRNA precursor (98 nucleotides) under Caenorhabditis remanei. RNAcentral describes it as "mir-36 microRNA precursor family". It matches the Rfam family "mir-36 microRNA precursor family". Lineage: Eukaryota; Metazoa; Nematoda; Chromadorea; Rhabditida; Rhabditidae. The record is from Rfam by way of RNAcentral.